RNAcentral lists this ribosomal RNA (253 nucleotides) under uncultured bacterium. RNAcentral's name for it is "partial 16S ribosomal RNA". It matches the Rfam family "Bacterial small subunit ribosomal RNA", at positions 524 to 776 of the family's 1533-position model. The record is from RNAcentral.
UACGGAGGGUGCAAGCGUUAUCCGGAUUCACUGGGUUUAAAGGGUGCGUAGGUGGGCAAGUAAGUCAGUGGUGAAAUCUCCGGGCUUAACCCGGAAACUGCCAUUGAUACUAUUUGUCUUGAAUACUGUGGAGGUCAGCGGAAUAUGUCAUGUAGCGGUGAAAUGCUUAGAUAUGACAUAGAACACCAAUUGCGAAGGCAGCUCGUUACACGAAUAUUGACACUCAGGCACGAAAGCGUGGGGAUCAAACAGG